GCCCGGGUAGCUCAAUGGAAGAGCGCCUGUCCUACAAACAGGAUGUUGGGGGUUCGAGUCCCUCCGCGGGCAC
RNAcentral lists this transfer RNA (73 nucleotides) under Dactylosporangium siamense. Its description in RNAcentral is "tRNA-Val". It matches the Rfam family "tRNA". Rfam says of the family: Transfer RNA (tRNA) molecules are approximately 80 nucleotides in length. Their secondary structure includes four short double-helical elements and three loops (D, anti-codon, and T loops). The record is from RNAcentral. Lineage: Bacteria; Bacillati; Actinomycetota; Actinomycetes; Micromonosporales; Micromonosporaceae.